Transfer RNA from Felis catus (domestic cat), 85 nucleotides. It matches the Rfam family "tRNA". From Rfam's summary of the family: Transfer RNA (tRNA) molecules are approximately 80 nucleotides in length. Their secondary structure includes four short double-helical elements and three loops (D, anti-codon, and T loops). Further hydrogen bonds mediate the characteristic L-shaped molecular structure. tRNAs have two regions of fundamental functional importance: the anti-codon, which is responsible for specific mRNA codon recognition, and the 3' end, to which the tRNAs corresponding amino acid is attached (by aminoacyl-tRNA synthetases). tRNAs cope with the degeneracy of the genetic code in two manners: having more than one tRNA (with a specific anti-codon) for a particular amino acid; and 'wobble' base-pairing, i.e. permitting non-standard base-pairing at the 3rd anti-codon position. The record is from Rfam. Lineage: Eukaryota; Metazoa; Chordata; Mammalia; Carnivora; Felidae.
GCCUGGGUGGCUCAGUCGGUUGAGCGUCCGACUUCAGCUCAGGUCACGAUCGCGCGGUUCGUGAGUUCGAGCCCCACGUCGGGCU